This 194-nucleotide ribosomal RNA is filed under the name uncultured bacterium. RNAcentral's name for it is "partial 16S ribosomal RNA". It matches the Rfam family "Bacterial small subunit ribosomal RNA", at positions 1307 to 1500 of the family's 1533-position model. The record is from RNAcentral.
GCAACUCGCCUGCAUGAAGUCGGAAUUGCUAGUAAUCGCAGAUCAGCAUGCUGUGGUGAAUACGUUCCCGGGCCUUGUACACACCGCCCGUCACACCAUGGGAGUCGGUAACACCCAAAGUUGGUAGUCUAACCGCAAGGAGGACGCCGCCUAAGGUGGGAUUGAUGACUGGGGUGAAGUCGUAACAAGGUAUC